Molecule: microRNA precursor, 89 nt
Filed under: Ailuropoda melanoleuca (giant panda)
Lineage: Eukaryota; Metazoa; Chordata; Mammalia; Carnivora; Ursidae
Description: mir-145
Rfam family: mir-145 microRNA precursor family
Source: RNAcentral
UCACCUUGUCCUCACGGUCCAGUUUUCCCAGGAAUCCCUUAGAUGCUAAGAUGGGGAUUCCUGGAAAUACUGUUCUUGAGGUCAUGGUU